RNAcentral lists this transfer RNA (70 nucleotides) under Camelus bactrianus (Bactrian camel). It matches the Rfam family "tRNA". From Rfam's summary of the family: Transfer RNA (tRNA) molecules are approximately 80 nucleotides in length. Their secondary structure includes four short double-helical elements and three loops (D, anti-codon, and T loops). The record is from Rfam by way of RNAcentral. Lineage: Eukaryota; Metazoa; Chordata; Mammalia; Artiodactyla; Camelidae. RNAcentral also lists the same sequence under 2 other names.
AGGGUCUAGCUCAGUGGCAGAGUGCAUGCCUAGAAAGCACAAAGACCUGGGUUCAAUCCCAGUACCUCUA